RNAcentral lists this ribosomal RNA (1078 nucleotides) under Diaphoromyces zirophori. Its description in RNAcentral is "SSU rRNA". It matches the Rfam family "Eukaryotic small subunit ribosomal RNA", at positions 21 to 1115 of the family's 1831-position model. Lineage: Eukaryota; Fungi; Ascomycota; Laboulbeniomycetes; Laboulbeniales; Laboulbeniaceae. The record is from RNAcentral.
AGUCAUAUGCUUGUCUCAAAGAUUAAGCCAUGCAUGUGUAAGUAUAAGCAACUAUACUGUGAAACUGCGAAUGGCUCAUUAAAUCAGUUAUCGUUUAUUUGAUGAUUUUUUACAUGGAUAACCGUGGUAAUUCUAGGGCUAAUACAUGCAAAAAACCUUGACGCAAGAAAAGGUGUGUUUAUUAGACUGCAAGCCAACACCCUUCGGGGUUCCUGGUGAUUCAUAAUAACCUAUCGCAGCGCAUGGCCUUGUGCUGGUGCGAGAUCAUUCAAAUACCUGCCCUAUCAAGUUUCGAUGUGAGGGUAGUGUCCUCACAUGCUUUUGACGGGUAACGGGGAAUUAGGGUUCGACUCCGGAGAGGGAGCCUGAGAAACGGCUACCACAUCCAAGGAAGGCAGCAGGCGCGCAAAUUACCCAAUCCCGAUCAUGGGGAGGUAGUGACAAGAAAUACCGAUACAGGGUCUUUAUAGAUCUUGUGAUUGGAAUGAGUACAAUUCAAACCCAUUAACGAGGAACAAUUGGAGGGCAAGUCUGGUGCCAGCAGCCGCGGUAAUUCCAGCUCCACGAGCAUACAUUAAAGUUGUUGCGGUUGAAACGCCCGUAGUCGAAGCUUGGGCUUGAUUGCUUGGUCCGCCUCACCGCGUGUACUGAUGUAGUCGGGCCUUUCUUCCUGGAGAACCACAUGCCCUUCACUGGGUGCGUUGGGGAACCAGGACUUUUACUUUGAAAAAAUUAGAGUGUUCAAAGCAGGCACAUGCUCGGAUAGCUUAGCAUGGAAUAAUGGAAUAGGACGGUGGUCUUAUUCGUUGGUUUCUAGGACCACCGUAAUGAUUGACAGGGAUAGUCGGGGGCAUCAGUAUUCAAUUGUCAGAGGUGAAAUUCUUGGAUUCAUUGAAGACUAACUGCUGCGAAAGCAUUUGCCAAGGAUGUUUUCAUUGAUCAAGGACGAAAGUUAGGUGAGCGAAAACGAUCAGAUACCGUUGUAGUCUUAACCGUAAACUUUACCAACUAGGGAUCAGGCGGUGUCCUUUGAAUGACUCGCUUGGCACCUUAUGAGAAAUCAAAGUUUUUGGGUUCC